Molecule: ribosomal RNA, 795 nt
Filed under: Oceanobacillus sp. R9
Lineage: Bacteria; Bacillati; Bacillota; Bacilli; Caryophanales; Bacillaceae
Description: bacterial SSU rRNA
Rfam family: Bacterial small subunit ribosomal RNA
Source: RNAcentral
AGUCGAGCGCAGGAAGCAAGCAGAUCCCCUUCGGGGGUGACGCUUGUGGAAUGAGCGGCGGACGGGUGAGUAACACGUGGGCAACCUGCCUGUAAGACUGGGAUAACCCCGGGAAACCGGGGCUAAUACCGGAUAAUACUUUUCUUUGCAUAAAGGAAAGUUGAAAGGCGGUUUCGGCUGCCACUUACAGAUGGGCCCGCGGCGCAUUAGCUAGUUGGUGAGGUAACGGCUCACCAAGGCGACGAUGCGUAGCCGACCUGAGAGGGUGAUCGGCCACACUGGGACUGAGACACGGCCCAGACUCCUACGGGAGGCAGCAGUAGGGAAUCUUCCGCAAUGGACGAAAGUCUGACGGAGCAACGCCGCGUGAGUGAUGAAGGUUUUCGGAUCGUAAAACUCUGUUGUUAGGGAAGAACAAGUCGGGUAGUAACUGACCCGGCCUUGACGGUACCUAACCAGAAAGCCCCGGCUAACUACGUGCCAGCAGCCGCGGUAAUACGUAGGGGGCAAGCGUUGUCCGGAAUUAUUGGGCGUAAAGCGCUCGCAGGCGGUCCUUUAAGUCUGAUGUGAAAUCUCGCGGCUCAACCGCGAACGGUCAUUGGAAACUGGAGGACUUGAGUACAGAAGAGGAGAGUGGAAUUCCACGUGUAGCGGUGAAAUGCGUAGAGAUGUGGAGGAACACCAGUGGCGAAGGCGACUCUCUGGUCUGUAACUGACGCUGAGGAGCGAAAGCGUGGGGAGCGAACAGGAUUAGAUACCCUGGUAGUCCACGCCGUAAACGAUGAGUGCUAGGUG